UACGGAAGGGGCAAGCGUUGUUCGGAAUCAUUGGGCGUAAAGGGCGCGUAGGUGGUUCUGUAUGUCUGCCGUGAAAGCAUACAGCUCAACUGUAUUUUGUCGGUAGAAACUGCAGGACUUGAGGCUGGGAGGGGCUGGUGGAAUUCCCUGUGUAGCGGUGAAAUGCGUAGAGAUGGGGGAGAACACUCGUGGCGAAGGCGGCCAGCUAGACCAGAUCUGACACUGAGGCGCGAAAGCGUGGGGAGCAAACAGG
Molecule: ribosomal RNA, 253 nt
Filed under: uncultured bacterium
Lineage: Bacteria
Description: partial 16S ribosomal RNA
Rfam family: Bacterial small subunit ribosomal RNA
Source: RNAcentral